UACGGGGGGAGCAAGCGUUGUCCGGAAUUAUUGGGCGUAAAGAGCUCGUAGGCGGUUUGUCGCGUCGAAUGUGAAAACCCGGGGCUCGACCCCGGGCCUGCAUUCGAUACGGGCAGACUAGAGUUCGGUAGGGGAGUCUGGAAUUCCUGGUGUAGCGGUGAAAUGCGCAGAUAUCAGGAGGAACACCGGUGGCGAAGGCGGGACUCUGGGCCGAUACUGACGCUGAGGAGCGAAAGCGUGGGGAGCAAACAGG
Molecule: ribosomal RNA, 253 nt
Filed under: uncultured bacterium
Lineage: Bacteria
Description: partial 16S ribosomal RNA
Rfam family: Bacterial small subunit ribosomal RNA
Source: RNAcentral